This 259-nucleotide long non-coding RNA is filed under the name Lathyrus oleraceus (garden pea). RNAcentral describes it as "Pisum sativum (pea) long non-coding RNA (PSAT_LNC034451)". Lineage: Eukaryota; Viridiplantae; Streptophyta; Magnoliopsida; Fabales; Fabaceae. The record is from RNAcentral.
AUCAAUAUGUGUUCUUAAUUCCAAAUCAUGGUGCACAUCAGGUGAUGUCGUUGACUAAUCCUGCCGAUGAAAGGAUUCGUGCCCUUGAAGAGAAGCUCAAGGCUAUGGAAGUACAUGAAAAUCCUGGGCUCGAUGCCUUUGAUAUGUGCCUGGUGACAGUCCUGGUGAUCCCUCAUAAAUUCAAGGAACCUGAUUUUGAGAAGUGAAAGGGAAUCAAUCGUCAGAAGACCCCCUGGGAGCAUACUACAGGAAGAUGUUC